Mus caroli (Ryukyu mouse) is the source of this 1289-nucleotide non-coding RNA. The record is from RefSeq and is a predicted model, not a curated record. NCBI's taxonomy places the organism in Eukaryota, Metazoa, Chordata, Mammalia, Rodentia, Muridae.
GUGUCAUGCAAGAAGGAGGCGGCGGCGGCGGCGGCGGCGGCCGGAGCUGGAGGGGGAGGAGGGGAGGAACCUGAUCCUCGGUAGCGAAGGGCUGGAGGCAAACACCGAGCUCCCCCUGAGCCGCCUGGGAGCAGGGAGGGUUCUGCUACCCUGAGGUGCCCUCCCCGCGGGGCAGAGGGGUUUCCUCAGCAGUGCCCCAGAGCAGGGACUGCGCCAGCCGGCAGAAACAGCUAGUUCUUGUCUGCAGUGAAGAAUAAUUGGAAGCAUGGUGCCUGUUUCUUUUCCUGUGGGAGGAAGUCACAGCAUGUGCUUCUGAACCUGUGCUUGCCUUGAGGAACAACGGCAUGACACGGGGAUGUGGACGCUUUCAACCAGAAGAUUCUGUACGAUAGUGUCGGCACACAAGGAGUGUUCCGCUGACUGACCUCUUUUUGUUUUCAAAUGAAGAGGAGCCAAGAAUAGGACAGCUUGGGAAGAUGACUGUUUACUGCACAGGCCCACCAGCAUAUCCCAAAUGUCUUCAGUCUCUCUGUCUUUCAGAAUGAGUCCAAUACUCCCUGGUAGAGCCUAGCAUGGCAGAGACCUUGGGUUUGAUCUCCAGUGUAGACGAAUGAACCAUUUCUUCUUACCCACAUGCGGCUCUGACGACUUUUCUCACACGUUGAGCCUCGAUCUCUUUAUUUUCAUCAGAAUAAGCCUGCUAUGAUCAGCACAUUCAACACUCUCCAGCACUUCCAUAAUUAUCAGACAGAUGGGGUUAUAAUGUUAUAAAACAGCCAGCACUAAAUACAGGCAACAUGAUGGCGACAGAAAAGUAGUUAGCCAAGGCUGAAAUUAACAAAAGCCAACCAACACUGUUGCUGUCUGUUGGGGCCAGGGACGCUGAAAUUCUAUGGCUUUUUUUAUUUCAUUUUUUGAAAGGUGACAGGUUGCCAAGCUGCCAAGAACUCCUGCCUCUGCUCAUACUGCUCUGCUGAAGUACAUUUGAGACAUCAACCAUCAAAUUACAUAUAAAUAUGUAAUCAACUAAAGUUAUUUAUAGCUAGCUCAGUGGGUUUACGUUGACGGAAUGGGCUGAGGCUGCCGGUUUGAUCCUUUGCCACUUAUUUGACACAUGAAUAAAAUUCAUCACCUAGUAGUCUGUCCCUACACUCGACCAGGUCACAAACCUGUGAUCUUCCAGAGACCUGGUUCUACUGUGUAGGUAGACAGUCGUAUCAUUUCAGGUACAACCUCACAUGGCAAUGUAAGUACUAACCUUCAUAACAAUAAACAGCCUUGGAAUCUUC